GCUAGUCGCUCCGCGACCGUCUCUGGACGCGGACGGAAGGUGCCGAAGGUCACGUCGCGACCCUCAGGAAGUUGUAGCCCCGUUUCCGGCUUCGAAUCUCUCGCGGUGACGCCGGAAAUUCGUUGGAUCUCCUCGAUCCCCUCUUCCGGGGAUUCUUCGGCUCUAGCUCGCCCUGGCCUGCGGACUCGUUCCUCUUCGGGAGCCUCUCCGCGGUCUGUCGCGGAGACGGUGGUACCCCGCGACCCCGCGCUAUGUGGUUCGCCGGCUGUCAUUCCGGCGCAGGAAGUGCGGCUAACGGGGUUCGCCACGAGACCGGGUACGAUGGCUUCGAUCGGUAGUUGGCUCCGAUACGGAAUUCGGUGGGAGGUCCGCGAGAGUGGUGAACGCCCUUAAUCGAGGUGAUGCCGAAGGAAGCUUGUACCGGGCUGCUGAUCGUGACACUGGUGCUGGUAGGCAGCCUGUCCCGCCUCGUAUGGACGAGGAGGACCUCUCCAGGGUCUCCUGGGUCUUCGGGGAGGCAGCCGAUCUGCAGGGCGGGCCUGGAGUUCUGGUCGGCGGAGCGGCUCGGCUGCGUGCCCUGCACGAUAUGCGCCCCGGACGUCACGGUCAGUCCCUGCGCGAUCCACAAGGACGCGACCUGCGGCCCGCUCUCCGCCCUGGAGCUAGACUGGUCGUUCCUCUCUCGAGGACGAAAAAAGGAGUCGGAAGCGCCCCUGGACUCGAGGGUCCUCUGGCCGUUCCCGGGGGACCGGGAGCAGCGGCCCGGCCCCUUAGACGACGUCCUGCUGGAGCUCGCCUCGGGUGGCGAGAGUACCGGGAAGCUCGGCGACGAGUACGAGGAGAGGUGGAUAGAGGACGUCCUGGAGAGGCGAUCCGACCGAGAGGAGACAGGGACCUACUGGGACCUGCAGACCGGUACCCUGAUCCUGGCGGUCUGCGCCUGCAUCCUUUUCUUCACGGUCGUCGGCCUGUCCGCCCUCGUGUACGCCAGGCAAUGGCGCAGGAUGAAGAAGAACUUCCAGCCAGCAGGCCUCGAAGAGAUCUUCGCCACGCUGAACUCGAUGGUGAAGGCUGAGCUGGCGGAACUCCCGUCGGAGGACCCGACGAGCGCUCACGAUCCGGAGAACGGGUACCAGUGCCUGGAGAAGCUCCUAGACCGAAAGCCCGCGACGCUCGGCUGGCGCGAGGACGGGGGUAACCUGUACAUCGAGGAGGGCAACAACUCGGCGAGCAGGCACCUGGACAUCGUCCAGGUCCACAGGAACGUCGAGAGGACGAGUAACGAUAUGUGACCCCGUAGGGAGGAGUUCUCGCCCUCGUCCAAGUACAACUGUACAGUAGUAGCUCUAUGAAAUUACCAUUACCGACCGGUUAAACCGGACCGUUCGUGCCUCUACCGGAGGUCGUCACUUUCUGGACACCCUCUUCGAGGGCACUGGAACGUCCUCGUCCGACUAUUGCACCUCGUCAGCGCUAUAACGGAGCUCCGAUUGCAGCCGGAAGACUCGAGCCGCGAACUCGAGCCUCCCGAGGCCCCGCACAAAAUUUACA
Molecule: unclassified non-coding RNA, 1551 nt
Filed under: Orussus abietinus
Lineage: Eukaryota; Metazoa; Arthropoda; Insecta; Hymenoptera; Orussidae
Description: tumor necrosis factor receptor superfamily member wengen, transcript variant X3
Source: RNAcentral